Molecule: ribosomal RNA, 486 nt
Filed under: bacterium A6M_VP7_A3
Lineage: Bacteria
Description: bacterial SSU rRNA
Rfam family: Bacterial small subunit ribosomal RNA
Source: RNAcentral
UCCUACGGGAGGCAGCAGUGGGGAAUCUUGGACAAUGGGGGCAACCCUGAUCCAGCCAUGCCGCGUGAGUGAUGAAGGCCUUAGGGUCGUAAAGCUCUUUCGCCUGUGAAGAUAAUGACGGUAGCAGGUAAAGAAACCCCGGCUAACUCCGUGCCAGCAGCCGCGGUAAUACGGAGGGGGUUAGCGUUGUUCGGAAUUACUGGGCGUAAAGCGCACGUAGGCGGAUCGGAAAGUUGGGGGUGAAAUCCCGGGGCUCAACCCCGGAACUGCCUCCAAAACUAUCGGUCUAGAGUUCGAGAGAGGUGAGUGGAAUUCCGAGUGUAGAGGUGAAAUUCGUAGAUAUUCGGAGGAACACCAGCGGCGAAGGCGGCUCACUGGCUCGAUACUGACCCUGAAUUGCCAAAGUGUGGGGAGCAAACACGAUUAGAUACUCUGGUAGUCCCCACCCUAAACGAUGAAAUGCCCGUCUCCGGUAAUAUGCCUUUC